Non-coding RNA from Cinara cedri, 532 nucleotides. The record is from the annotation of a GenBank genome assembly. NCBI's taxonomy places the organism in Eukaryota, Metazoa, Arthropoda, Insecta, Hemiptera, Aphididae.
UGUACAGUAACGUUUCGAUUUAAAGAAAACGUGAAAUAUUUCUGACGAGUUAUACUCUUUUUAAAGUCAUGUUUAUAUUUUUAAUUUUUGUUAUUUUGUUUGCACUCGUAGAUUUGUAUAGUCAUAACUACAUGAUUUUUAAUUUUUAAAUUAUUUUGAAUUAUUUAUCGUCUUAAAGAAAAUAUUACACGCGUAUUAUACCGUACAAAUUGUGUCAAUUUACUGUUAGGGAAAACUAUUAACCAACUUUUUGUACAAAUAAAAAUAAAGUUUAAUGUUUUAUUAUCUCUACAAUACUACACUGUUACAAUGUUACAAAAAAAGUGCCGGUACGUGCUUCAAGAAAAGAGCUAAUACAUACUGCGUUGGUACUAGUCGAGGUGCCACUAUUGUAGACGGGAGUUCGUGAAAAUGUGAAAUAUACCAUUAUAAUAUUGAUACGCAUGUGUAACAAUAAAAUACGUUUAUAAUAAAUUAGUUUACUAAUUGUUUGUUUAUUAGUAUUUCUAACUAAUAUUUUAUCAUUUUAAAG